Molecule: ribosomal RNA, 2688 nt
Filed under: Haliotis laevigata (greenlip abalone)
Lineage: Eukaryota; Metazoa; Mollusca; Gastropoda; Lepetellida; Haliotidae
Description: eukaryotic LSU rRNA
Rfam family: Bacterial large subunit ribosomal RNA (bases 1170-2499)
Source: RNAcentral
AUUUGGUUUUGGUUCUGUGUCUUGGUUUUAGCUACAGGAAACACAUGGUACUUUAUGGGUUCCGGUGAGUAGGAAAUAGCUGGAUUAAAGCGGAUUUUAAUAUUUUGCUUUAUUUCCUAUUUUUAGGCAUAAUUGUAUCUUAUAUGACGCCUAUGUUUAUUCACUCUGUACACCAGUGUUGAAGGUUGAACAAUAAAUUGUGGUUUGAUUCAGUGAGUUGCUACUAAGGCCUGGUAAAGUUUGUGCCAGCAACUGCGGUUAGACAAACAGGCCAAGCUAAGAUUUGUGCAGCAUAAAGUAGGGUUAGGGGUGCAAAAGUUUAGUGCUUGGGAGUUUAAGAUGACUUGAGGGGUGCAAUCCUAAGAGUUGUGGUUUUAUCUAGUAUUUCCUAGCUGCCUGACGCCCUGAAACUCCAACUAAAAACCGGGAUUUGGUAUCCCGUUAUUCGGAGUGUAAACUUUGGUUUGUAAUCUGCUGGGGUACUACGAGCGUUAGAUUUAUUUUGGCUAGGCUUAAAACUCAAAAAACUUGGCGGUGUUUCAUAUCCUCCCAGGGGAACCUGUCUCAUAAACGAUGAUCCACGUUUUAUCUUACCUUGUUUUGAAACGCUUAGUGUGUAGCGGGUCAGCUUGUAUACCGUCGCCGAUAGAUCACCCUUGAGGGGCUUAAAGUGGUCGGGAAGAGAAGUCGAAGGUUGUAGGUUGCUGCUCUGUUAUGAGUAAUUGCGGCUGAUACUUGUUAUGCUGUGGGACCUAAGGGCCCUGCAGUCGUUAGCUUCUCAGGAUGUCAGAUCAAGGUGCAGCUUAUGGCGAGGUGAUGAUGGGUUACAAUAACUUAUUUGUUAUACGGAUUUUUCGUUGUAAUGCGGAAUUUAAAGGCGGACUUGGAUGUAAUGUUGAAUUAGGAAGUCACAGUGAACUAGGUUUUGAGAUGUGUACAAAUCGCCCGUCGCUCUCGUUGAAAAAUGAGAUAAGUCGUAACAUAGUAGGGGUACCGGAAGGUGCCCCUGGAAUAAUGGUUAAUUGGGGUAUAGUAUAAUUAUUACGUUUCGCUUACACUGAAAAUAUGGCUCGCGUGGGCUUGCCCUGAAAGUUAAUUAAUUGCUUUGUUGUGUGUGGUAGUUAGGUCACUUUUAAUGGUUUAUUUUGGAUUUAACAAAUUUUUUAUAGGUGUUAGUAGAUGUAGAAAGAAAACUUUACUGUUUAAGCUAGAGUGAAAAAGUACCGUGAGGGAAAAUAAUUGGGUAUUUAAGCUUUUUUUUAGUAGGGAUGAAAUCCUGUACCUUUUGCAUCAUGGUUUUUUAAGAGGUUUUUUGAAUAAAGUUGGCCCGAAAAAAGACGAGCUAUUUUUUAGCUUGCGUCAUCGUUGUAAAGAUGUGCUGAGACUAAAGGAUAGGAGUGAUAUUCUUUUCGCGUUUUUUGAUAGCUGGUUAGUCGGGAAAAGCAUUAGAGUGCCGGCUUAACUUGUGGUUCUGGCUGUUGUGCAGUGCCGUGUUACGGGAUUGGAUUGAGCGGGGAGUAGUGUUGGGUUAAGUCUUGCGCAAAAAAGGAUUAGCUUUUUUGCGUUGUUAAAGAGCGCAUAGUUGAUAGCGUAAUGAUAGUUUAGUAGGCUUGGAGUUAGUCAUCUUUUAAGUUUGUUUUAAGAUAUUUAUUUAUUUUUAGCUAAAAAUUUGUGUGUGCGUUUUUAAGUGAUUUAGUUGUGAGUACCGACUUUAUUGAUACAAUUAAGUUUAUUUGUGAAAUAAUGAGGAAAUGAGUAUUUAUUUUCAUUUAGUUUGUUUUUGCUUGUUAAAGUAAGUAAACUAAAGUUCAAUUCAUGUGCUGCAUUGAAAAAUAUAAAUCUAGAAAAGGAACUCGGCAAAUGUCGGCCUCGCCUGUUUAGCAAAAACAUGGCUCCUCGGUUAUCUAAGUAAAUGGGGAGUCGGACCUGCCCGGUGACCUAAGGGUUAAACGGCCGCGGUACACUGACCGUGCAAAGGUAGCACAAUCACUUGCCUUUUAAUUGGAGGCUGGUAUGAAUGGUUUGACGAGGGCUGAGCUGUCUCUUCUGGAAUAUUUAAAAAUUAACUUCUAGGUGAAAAGGCUUAGAUUUAGCUGAGGGACGAGAAGACCCUGUUGAGCUUUAGUGUGGAAUAAAAGGCUUUGCCCCUAUCUCAGGUAGAGGGCCGGAAUUUAUUUUUACAUCUUUAGUUGGGGUGACUGGGGAACAAUAAGUAGCUUCUCUGUUUUUAUUAAAUUGAAUUCGGUUUACUGACUGGUGAUCCAGCAUUGUUGAUUAUCGGAAAAAGUUACCACAGGGAUAACAGCGUAAUCUUUCUGGAGAGUUCACAUUGAAAGAAGGGUUUGCGACCUCGAUGUUGGAUUAAGGUGUCCUGAGGGUGUAGCAGCUUUCGUUGGUUGGUCUGUUCGACCAUUAAAACCUUACAUGAUCUGAGUUCAGACCGGCGUAAGCCAGGUUGGUUUCUAUCUUCAGCUUGUUAUAUUCCUUUGACUAGUACGAAAGGACCGUUAUUAAGGUGAAUAUUUAAUUUAUUGGGACUGAAUUUAUUUAAGUUCGGGAUUAAGAAGUGUUUAGAGAUGUUUGUUAAGUUGGCAGAUUUAUGUGACUGAUUUAGGCUCAGUAGAAAAAGGUGAAAUUCCUUUACUUAAUAGUAUAAUGGGGCACUAAUUUUUUGUAGUUCUUUUAUUA